RNAcentral lists this long non-coding RNA (2401 nucleotides) under Sus scrofa (pig). Its description in RNAcentral is "lncRNA (ENSSSCG00025018576.1)". Lineage: Eukaryota; Metazoa; Chordata; Mammalia; Artiodactyla; Suidae. The record is from RNAcentral.
UUUUUUUUUUUUUGGCAAAGUUUUCUCUAAUAUUUUUGCAGGACUAGUGUUUUUAAUUAGUUUUUUUUUUCUUAAAUUUAAAAGCUGCUGAUUCAGGCUCUUUCUGAUAUUAAUGGUUCUAAGUUUCACUUUGCCACUGUGUCUGUGGCAUGUUUUGCACAGAAUCAGUAUUUUUUUUUUUCCUUCACCUGCCUUGCCACUGUGUGACCUUAAGGCAGUAUCUUAUUCUUUUCAGGUCUCAGUUUACCCACCUCUAAUAAGGAGCUAAAUAAUGCAGGAUUUUUUUUAAUAAGAUUUGAAUAAUAGAUGUCUGAAAAGCUUUUAGAUUUAGGAUUUGAAACCACUCUGUAGUUGGCAGUGAUAAUAGUAGCAAUGGCUUGGAUUAACAGAGAGCUUUUCUUCCAAAAGCUCUGAUCUCUUUUAUAUUCUUCCGUUUGUCCUCAGAACACCCUUACGAAGUAAGAAUGAGAAAGUAUCGGCUUUCUCAGUUGGCAGGUGAAAAAAAUGAAAGAGAGAAAUGUUGGAAUGAGUACUAAUUUUCUUCCAUUUUAAAUUUAUUUUUUAUUAAAAUAGAGUUGAUUUACAGCAUAUGCCAAUUUCUGCUGCACGGCAACAUGACCCAGUCAUACAUACAUAUAUACAUGAUUUUUCUCAUAUUGCCUUCUGUCAUGUUCUACCACAAAUGAUUGGAAUAAUUCCCUGUGCUAUACAGUAGAAUCUCAUUGAUUACUCAUUUUAAAUGUAAUAGUUUGCAACUACAAACCCCAAACUCCCUGUCUAUCCCACCUCUCCCUCUCCCCGUGGGCAGCCACAAGUCUGUUACCCAUGACUGUGGGUCUGUUUAUGUGCUGUAGAUAGGUUCAUUUGUGCCAUAUUUUAGAUUCAACAUAUGGUAUUUGUCUUUCUCUUUCUGACCUACUUCACUUAGCAUGAGAAUCUCUAGUUGUAUCUGUGUUGCUACAAAUGGCACCAUUUCAUUCUUUUUAUGGGUGAGUAAUAUUCCAUUGCAUGUAUGUGGCACAUCUUGAUACAUUCAUCUGUCGAUGAGCAUUUAAGUUGUUUCCACAUCUUGGCCACUGUGAAUAGUGUGGCAGUGAACUAUAAUAUUUUGAAUUAUAGUUUUGUCCAGAUGUAUGAUCUUCUGAUUCCAGGAGCUCUUCCUGAUUGUAUAAUGGCCAACCCAUUUCCACUGCAAGCUUUGCAGGAGUGGGCAAACUUCUCAGGGAGGCUGUCUGUACAAGCUGUGUGCAUCAUUAAUUUAUGUCUUCAAUUGAAUUAGAAACCUUUUUGCAUCUCUCACUUAUUUUCCUGUUGACUGCUGCCCUUCCGUUUAGAGGGUGUCCAUUUGUUUCAGGGCUCAAUGCAAUCAGUGAAUAGAGAAAUCCAUGUUAUUUUCACCCCCUGUGCCAGUGAUUACAUUGUUAUCAUCCUGGAUAAGCCCUUGUAGCAGACGUACAAAUGUCAUUAUGCUGCGGUGCAGGUUAUCCACAGGCAGGCAUGGUGGUUUUCAGAGGGCUUCCACCCGUGGCAGUGUGGAACUGAAAACCAAUCACUCCUCUCCUGAGAGCAUCACAAUUUCUGCAGCUGAAAUGGAAAUUGACAGGAGACAUUAGAUACAGCUGUACCUGAUCAUCGAGGGAUAAAUUAUUUUGUGUAAUUGUUGGAGCCUUGCUAGGACCUAAUGGAAUGAACAUGUUGUUUUCCACACCCGUGGGUACAGAUAGUCCUGGCAAAUAUUGUGUGCUUGGAUUUAAAGAUGUGGGAGACAGCCUGUUGACAAUGAGAAAAAUUAAUUUGAACUGCUGAUAAGGAAGGAAAACAUACACAAUGAAUUAAAUUUAAUAGACUGAAAAAAAAAAUGGUUCUCCUGACUAUUUCCAUGUGGGAAUAUGUCAGACUUCAUUUAACUCAAAUAACUACGGAUAUUAAGGACGGCUACACUGCAGCCUCUGUUGGAAUAUUCUGUGUGGCAAUUUGGUGCAUCAGUCUUGGGCAUUAUUUUGGUUAAACUUUUAAUGUAAAAUGUAAUGAUGUGUAUCCUGAGCAGAAUAGAGAGUGGUUGGUUGUCAGGGACAAAUCUGAUAUUGUUUCUGCUCUCUCUCCCUCGCGGUUGUGCAUUUCCAGUAAUGAACAGUAGAGUGAGGCGAGGCUCUGGUCGGGCUGUGCCUUUCUGAAAUCCUAAGAAGAGAGAUCUGAUCUCCGGAAGGGGAGUAGGGUUUUACAACUAAGAUCUCACUCCAAAUAAUGUUUGCUUUCAGAGUUCCCUUGUGGUGCAGCAGAUUAAGGAUCCAGUGUUAUCACCGCUGUGGCUUAGGUCACUGCUGUGGCUCAGGUUGUGGCUUGAGUUCGAUCCCUGGUCUGGGAACUUUCACAUGCCGCUGGCAUGGCCAAAAAAAAAAAA